This is a non-coding RNA of Momordica charantia (bitter melon), 295 nucleotides long. NCBI's taxonomy places the organism in Eukaryota, Viridiplantae, Streptophyta, Magnoliopsida, Cucurbitales, Cucurbitaceae. The record is from RefSeq and is a predicted model, not a curated record.
CUCUAGCUACAACAUUCAUCCAUUUUCCAACAAAUUCCCACCAAAUCCCUUUUUUCUUUGCUUCCUAAACCUUUCCCUCUUCUCUCUCACUCUCUCAGUUGAUGAUUAUUCAGAUUAAUUCAGACACAAUUUCAAGAAAUUGGAUUACAGCUUCAUUUCCUGUUGGAUAGAUCCAUGGUGGGUGUUAUAUUUCUCUGUAUUCUAUUAAUCUGUUUUUUCUUUGAAGAUCGAUCCUUAGGUGUACAAAUCUUCUGAUUUUAUCUGGGGUGUAGAGAGGGAAAUUAAAUAAAAUGAU